AGCGGCGGAUGGGUGAGUAACACGUGGGGAACCUGCCCCUAAGUCUGGGAUACCAUUUGGAAACAGGUGCUAAUACCGGAUAAUAAAGCAGAUCGCAUGAUCAGCUUUUGAAAGGCGGCGUAAGCUGUCGCUAAGGGAUGGCCCCGCGGUGCAUUAGCUAGUUGGUAAGGUAACGGCUUACCGAGGCGACGAUGCAUAGCCGAGUUGAGAGACUGAUCGGCCACAUUGGGACUGAGACACGGCCCAAACUCCUACGGGAGGCAGCAGUAGGGAAUCUUCCACAAUGGACGCAAGUCUGAUGGAGCAACGCCGCGUGAGUGAAGGAGGUUUUCGGAUCGUAAAGCUCUGUUGUUGGUGAAGAAGGAUAGAGGUAGUAACUGGCCUUUACUUGACGGUAAUCAACCAGAAAGUCACGGCUAACUACGUGCCAGCAGCCGCGGUAAUACGUAGGUGGCAGGCGUUGUCCGGAUUUAUUGGGCGUAAGCGAGCGCAGGCGGAAAAAUAAGUCUAAUGUGAAAGCCCUCGGCUUAACCGAGGAACUGCAUCGGAAACUGUUUUUCUUGAGUGCAGAAGAGGAGAGUGGAACUCCAUGUGUAGCGGUGGAAUGCGUAGAUAUAUGGAAGAACACCAGUGGCGAAGGCGGCUCUCUGGUCUGCAACUGACGCUGAGGCUCGAAAGCAUGGGUAGCGAACAGGAUUAGAUACCCUGGUAGUCCAUGCCGUAAACGAUGUGUGCUAAGUGU
Molecule: ribosomal RNA, 742 nt
Filed under: uncultured bacterium
Lineage: Bacteria
Description: bacterial SSU rRNA
Rfam family: Bacterial small subunit ribosomal RNA
Source: RNAcentral